GUCGCCUCACCCAACCCCUACACCUUUGCCAAACCCCAAUCCCUAAUCCGGCGGCGGCAACAGUGACUCCUACGCCUGCGUUCUUCCUCUCCCAGAUGUCGUGCCUCGUCUCUCUUCUCCCCGGCCGCUGUGGAGGAGCCACGGUGCUCGGGCUACCGUGAGCAGCAGAGGACCGAGCUCCAUCCUUCUCCACUACAAAGCACCGCCCCUCUUCCACCCACUCCUUAGCCACCGUGUCCGACCUCAACCCUAACUAGCUAGCCCCACGGCUCCACCCGUAGGAGGAUCCCCUCCAGGAGGAGCAUCUGUUGCGAAGGGGGCCGGGCCAUGGAGAACCCCUCCCACGCGUCUCUCCAUGGGUAGUGACAACAUGGCGGAGAGGAGAGGAGGAGGAGGAGCACGUUAACAUCCAUCCCUCUCCACCUCUCCCCCAGCGCCAAUGUGAUGAAGUUGUUGCGGUGGGUAUGAUCAUGUGCUAGAACCUGGAAGAAAAAGUGGGGCAUGCCGGUAGAGGAAAGGCGGCAGUGUAGUUCUGCAUGGCUGCUCUGACCCUCACACAAUGACAAUUAGUUCCCAUCCGGUCUGACCUUGUUGUGUGAAGGAACAGGUCCAUAGAGAAUCCGCUCCCACGCGGGUUCAAUGGCAUGCCGUGCCAAGAGAGGAAGGCUGCUCCGACCCUAACACCAUGGAAGGUCGCCCAUCUCCUUUCUCUGUUUGGUUCUUCUAGGUCGGUUUAGUAUUUUCCCUCUCUCUUUCCAAUGGGGUUUAAACAUGAGUAGAUUCAAUAGUCAAUCAAUUUUGUCACCCAAGAAGUUGAAGAUUAUUGUGUCUGCUGCAAUUAUGGGAUUACUAUCACAGAAUUAAAUACUACCUUCUUGCUGUUCG
This is a long non-coding RNA of Triticum dicoccoides, 885 nucleotides long. RefSeq lists it as uncharacterized. The record is from RefSeq and is a predicted model, not a curated record. NCBI's taxonomy places the organism in Eukaryota, Viridiplantae, Streptophyta, Magnoliopsida, Poales, Poaceae. The transcript has 4 exons.